Molecule: ribosomal RNA, 411 nt
Filed under: Haemophilus influenzae
Lineage: Bacteria; Pseudomonadati; Pseudomonadota; Gammaproteobacteria; Pasteurellales; Pasteurellaceae
Description: bacterial LSU rRNA
Rfam family: Bacterial large subunit ribosomal RNA
Source: RNAcentral
GAUGUCGGCUCAUCACAUCCUGGGGCUGAAGUAGGUCCCAAGGGUAUGGCUGUUCGCCAUUUAAAGUGGUACGCGAGCUGGGUUUAGAACGUCGUGAGACAGUUCGGUCCCUAUCUGCCGUGGGCGUUGGAUGAUUGAUUGGGGCUGCUCCUAGUACGAGAGGACCGGAGUGGACGCAUCACUGGUGUUCCAGUUGUCUCGCCAGAGGCAUUGCUGGGUAGCUAAAUGCGGAAGAGAUAAGUGCUGAAAGCAUCUAAGCACGAAACUUGCCAAGAGAUGAGUCAUCCCUGACUUUAAGUCAGUAAGGGUUGUUGUAGACUACGACGUAGAUAGGUCUAGUGUGUAAGUGUAGUGAUACAUUGAGCUAACAGAUACUAAUUGCCCGAGAGGCUUAACUAUACAACGCUCAAG